Molecule: ribosomal RNA, 253 nt
Filed under: uncultured bacterium
Lineage: Bacteria
Description: partial 16S ribosomal RNA
Rfam family: Bacterial small subunit ribosomal RNA
Source: RNAcentral
UACGUAGGGGGCGAGCGUUGUCCGGAAUCAUUGGGCGUAAAGCGCGUGUAGGCGGCCCGGUAAGUCCGCUGUGAAAGUCCAGGGCUCAACCCUGGGAUGCCGGUGGAUACUGUCGGGCUCGAGUCCGGAAGAGGCGAGUGGAAUUCCUGGUGUAGCGGUGAAAUGCGCAGAUAUCAAGUGGAACACCAGUGGCGAAGGCGAGUCUCUGGACAUUUCCUGACGCUGAGGCACGAAAGCCAGGGGAGCAAACGGG